GUUAGAAUGGCCGAGCGGUCUAAGGCGCCAGACUCAAGAGUAGCAUUUCUCUGCCGGAGAGUUGAGUGUUCUGGUCCACGGAUGUGGGCGUGGGUUCGAAUCCCACUUCUGGCU
Molecule: non-coding RNA, 114 nt
Organism: Araneus ventricosus
Lineage: Eukaryota; Metazoa; Arthropoda; Arachnida; Araneae; Araneidae
Source: the annotation of a GenBank genome assembly